GAUGAAGAACGUAGCGAAAUGCGAUAAGUAGUGUGAAUUGCAGAAUUCAGUGAAUCAUCGAAUCUUUGAACGCACAUUGCGCCCCUUGGUAUUCCAUGGGGCAUGCCUGUUCGAGCGUCAUUUGUACCUUCAAGCUCUGCUUGGUGUUGGGUGUUUGUCUCGCCUUGCGCGUAGACUCGCCUUAAAACAAUUGGCAGCCGGCGUAUUGAUUUCGGAGCGCAGUACAUCUCGCGCUUUGCACUCAUAACGACGACGUCCAAAAGUACUUUUUACACUCUUGACCUCGGAUCAGGUAGGGAUAGCCGCUGAACUUAAGCAUAUCAAUAAGCGGAGGA
Molecule: unclassified non-coding RNA, 335 nt
Filed under: soil metagenome
Description: partial contains 5.8S ribosomal RNA, internal transcribed spacer 2, and large subunit ribosomal RNA
Rfam family: 5.8S ribosomal RNA (bases 1-120)
Source: RNAcentral